AGAAGAUUGAACUCUCAACCAUGACAAAUGCGAUGGGGAAAUCUGAGUUGAUGGACUGAAAAUCUUGAAUCUGAAUUCCUUUGAAUCUUCUGAGCCCACAGAAGUAGCCCACUCCUCCCUUUGAAGUAUAAGCUCUAUGAAGGCAGGGGCCACGUCCACCUUGCACUUAGCUUCAACCCCAGGGGACAACAUGAUGCCUGGUUCAUGGUGGGUUAGUGAUAAUUUUUUGAUAAAUGCAUGUAUGAAUAAAUAAGCACCUAAUAUUUGCCAGGCACUGGGCAUAGCCACCUAGGAUAAGAUGAGGAACAAGUCAUGAUCUUGCUUUUGCCAGAGUCUGUAAUAAGAAAACAAAGAAUAAUGAUUACUUCUCAUAAGGUUAUCGUGGAAAUCAAGGAGAUCCUACAAGCAAGCUGAGCAGAGUACCUGGCACAUAGUAAGAUGCUCCUGGUUGGAAUCCCAACAAUGGCCCAAUAAAAGCACAUACAGUUCUUUUUUUUUUUUUGAGGAGGAGGAGGAUUAGCCCUGAGCUAACAUCUGCUGCCAAUUCUCCUCUUUUUGCUUAGGAAGACUGGCCCUGAGCUAACAGCCAUGCCCAUCUUCCUCUACUUUCUAUGUGGGACUCCUACCACAGCAUGGUUUGCCAAGUGGAGCCAUGUCUGCACCCGAGAUCCGAACCAGCAAAGCUUGGGCCGUCAAAGUGGAAUGUGUGCACUUAACCGCUGCACCACCCGGCCGGCCCCCAUACAGUUCAUAUUUUAAUAUGACACAUCACUAUUGUAAUGUGUGAAAAAGAUGUAAGAGGAAGAAAUACAUAGUUUAUGUACCCAGUUUUAAGCAAAUGAGGUAACAUUUCACUAGUGUAAGAAGUGAAAUAUCCUGGAGUUUUUGUUUCAUGUUGAACUCUGAAAGAGUAAAUCAGUGUAUAAAAGGUGGAUUAGAAUGGAGGAAGGUAUGAAUGAACAAAUGAAUGCAGAGGUACAACUGCUGAACACAAUAGCAAGGAAAGGGGGGGUGUUGCAGUUGGGGGAGCGCUGUCUCAGCUAAAACUAAAUCACUUUCAGGAUUUGCACAGCCAGCAUCUCAGCCGGAAACGACUUUCCCUGGAGGGUUCCCAGCCUCCGAGAGCAGAUAUUCUCAAGGGAAGGAAGUUGAUUCAUGAGAUGACUCCUAGGGAGACUGCCAGAAGGAAAAUCUCUCAGGAAAAAAAAAAGAGAGAGAGACCAACAGAGAGAGAAAGAGAGAGAGUGAUCAAGAUGGAAGUGCAUGUUGUAGAGGAUAAAGUCUGUCCUGCAUGCUGUGCAGUGUCCUGGUGAUACUGGCCCGGACUCACUGAUGCUGUCAUGUCCUCAUGGUCUCUAAGUGAUUUGGAACUACAAAUGGAAAGCUGAAGAACACUAUGGCAUUUCUGGCAGUCAAGAUUUGGAAAGUUACACACUAAGAAGCUAUAAUAUGCUUAAGGAUAAUUUCCACCUAAUAAAGAGAACAGAAAUUUUGUUUAUGCAACCAAAUAGAGAGUUACUGUAUAGAGCAUAUAUUUUCUGAAUCAAACAGAACAGAGAAUGACGGCAUUGAGACAUGUAGAAAUACCCUUAUAAUGACAGAGCUGUCAUGUGGAAUCAUGUGUUAUUUCAUGUGUCCAUUCCAUCUGAAUGAGCAAUAAAACCAUCUUGGAAAAGAAUAA
RNAcentral lists this long non-coding RNA (1681 nucleotides) under Equus caballus (horse). RNAcentral's name for it is "lncRNA (ENSECAG00000042414.2)". Lineage: Eukaryota; Metazoa; Chordata; Mammalia; Perissodactyla; Equidae. The record is from RNAcentral.